This 306-nucleotide long non-coding RNA is filed under the name Serinus canaria (Common canary). Its description in RNAcentral is "lncRNA (ENSSCAG00000012261.1)". Lineage: Eukaryota; Metazoa; Chordata; Aves; Passeriformes; Fringillidae. The record is from RNAcentral.
AUGGAGCAAGAGAGAAUGGCACGGUGUCUGGCAAGAAAGAGGUGAUGAGUCCAGAGAAAGGCACUGUCUGUUAUCCAGCAAACCACAUCCUAGUGGAAGAUUGCUUGGAGGGUGUUUGAUACUGUAAUAUCUGAGAGAAAUGAUCCAAACGAAACCAUAACCAAGGCAGAGCAAUGUUCAGCAAGGGAUUUACAGGUGUGCCAGCUACUGUCAACCAAACCACGGUGCUCUGGGAUUCAAACAGCACUAAGGAGUCAACCUGCUGUGUGCCACAGUAUCUGCAGCUGCCUCAGGUCGUGCCGCUGC